UGGGGAAUAUUGCACAAUGGGCGCAAGCCUGAUGCAGCGACGCCGCGUGAGGGAUGACGGCCUUCGGGUUGUAAACCUCUUUCAGCUCCGACGAAGCGCAAGUGACGGUAGGAGCAGAAGAAGCACCGGCCAACUACGCGCCAGCAGCCGCGGUAAUACGUAGGGUGCAAGCGUUGUCCGGAAUUACUGGGCGUAAAGAGCUCGUAGGCGGUUUGUCGCGUCGUCUGUGAAAUUCUGCAGCUUAACUGCAGGCGUGCAGGCGAUACGGGCAGACUUGAGUACUACAGGGGGGACUGGAAUUCCUGGUGUAGCGGUGAAAUGCGCAGAUAUCAGGGAGAACACCGGUGGCGAAGGCGGGUCUCUGGGUAGUAACUGACGCUGAGGGGCGAAAGCGUGGGUAGCGAACAGG
RNAcentral lists this ribosomal RNA (409 nucleotides) under Actinomycetes bacterium. Its description in RNAcentral is "Actinobacteria bacterium partial 16S ribosomal RNA". It matches the Rfam family "Bacterial small subunit ribosomal RNA", at positions 355 to 776 of the family's 1533-position model. Lineage: Bacteria; Bacillati; Actinomycetota; Actinomycetes. The record is from RNAcentral.